Molecule: ribosomal RNA, 541 nt
Filed under: Bifidobacterium pseudocatenulatum
Lineage: Bacteria; Bacillati; Actinomycetota; Actinomycetes; Bifidobacteriales; Bifidobacteriaceae
Description: bacterial SSU rRNA
Rfam family: Bacterial small subunit ribosomal RNA
Source: RNAcentral
GGUGGUAAUGCCGGAUGCUCCGACUCCUCGCAUGGGGUGUCGGGAAAGAUUUCAUCGGUAUGGGAUGGGGUCGCGUCCUAUCAGGUAGUCGGCGGGGUAACGGCCCACCGAGCCUACGACGGGUAGCCGGCCUGAGAGGGCGACCGGCCACAUUGGGACUGAGAUACGGCCCAGACUCCUACGGGAGGCAGCAGUGGGGAAUAUUGCACAAUGGGCGCAAGCCUGAUGCAGCGACGCCGCGUGCGGGAUGACGGCCUUCGGGUUGUAAACCGCUUUUGAUCGGGAGCAAGCCUUCGGGUGAGUGUACCUUUCGAAUAAGCACCGGCUAACUACGUGCCAGCAGCCGCGGUAAUACGUAGGGUGCAAGCGUUAUCCGGAAUUAUUGGGCGUAAAGGGCUCGUAGGCGGUUCGUCGCGUCCGGUGUGAAAGUCCAUCGCUUAACGGUGGAUCUGCGCCGGGUACGGGCGGGCUGGAGUGCGGUAGGGGAGACUGGAAUUCCCGGUGUAACGGUGGAAUGUGUAGAUAUCGGAAAAGAACACCA